This 9943-nucleotide long non-coding RNA is filed under the name Durio zibethinus. Its description in RNAcentral is "long non-coding RNA (DZIB_LNC000858)". The record is from RNAcentral. Lineage: Eukaryota; Viridiplantae; Streptophyta; Magnoliopsida; Malvales; Malvaceae.
AUAAGCGAAAGGUUUCUUCACCGACUUCCUUAACAGCUACUCCAUCUGCAAAGCCCCCAACCUGGUCCAACAUCACUCUUUCGCCAUGAUGAAGCGACAAUGCCAUUGCAUUUGCAUCAAAAGGCUCCACUCCAAUAAUCUUCACCUGUAUAGUAAUACAACACUAAGUGAUGUGGAUGAAUUACGUCAUGCAGCAAGGAACAAGCACAUUCAAUGUAAUUUCAAACAAGAUAUAGUAUAUGUUUAUAUGAAGGACCCACAUACCCUCGGGGAAACCCUCUUAACAUAAGCAGCAAUGCCAGCUACAAGCCCACCACCACCAAUAGGUACAAAGAUUGCAUGCAAUGGGCCUGGCAUUUGGCGCACAAUCUCCAUCCCAACAGUGCCUUGUCCCAUGAUAACAUCUGGAUGGUCAAAAGGGGGAAUAAAUGUUCGACCUUCCUCUUUAGCCCGUUUUUUAGCAUAUGUUUGUGCCUCAUUAUAAGAAUCUCCAACGAGAACAACAGUUGCGCCCAACCUCUCAACAGAAUGCCACUGCAAAACAAGAAACCAAACAUUCAAAUUAAGAAACCUUAUGUGCUAUGCAAUUGAUACAAAAAACAUCACAAAAUAGCACCUUAAUUUCUGGUGUGGUAACAGGCAUAGCAAUAACAGCAUUGCAACCGAGUCUCUUGGCAGCCAAUGCGACCCCUUGGGCAUGAUUUCCUGCUGAUGAGCAAAUAACCCCUCUUUCUAACUGUCCCUUCGGAAGCUUUGCCAUCAUAUUAUAAGCUCCACGAAGCUUAAAAGAGAAAACCUGAAAAUAUGAAACAUCAAAUCUGUAAGCACUUUAUCUGAAUAUGAAAAACAAUAUUGAACUACAAAAAGAAAAGAUUUCCGCUUUGGCAAUUCAUUAACAGAUUAUAAAAACAAAGACUAAAUUCAACUAAAAAAACAUGUGAAUAUUUACUCAUAACAUCAAUGCAUCUCAGAGCACAUAAAUAAAAAACAAAUAGGGUUUAAUCCAAGCUAAAAAAAAACCAGUCCGUUAAGCUUAAAAUAAGUAAAGCAAAAUCAUAGAAUAUAAACAGUAUUAACUCCCAACACCUCACCAAUCAUAGAAACAAAUAUCAUUAGAAAUGAAAACCCAAAAACCUAAAAGAAAAAAAAAAUAACAAGAAGAUAUUUCGCCAAAUACAAAUUAAAAACCAAAAACUAGAACCUCAAUGGUUGCAAUUUUUAAAUGGAAAAAAGAACCCAAAUCAUGAAAUAAUCCCCCGAAAAAAAAAUCAAUCUUUCAAAAAAAUGAAAACUUUUCUUACAGGCUGUAAAUCUUCUCUCUUAAGCCAAACUUGAUUACCCAAUCGUUCAGACAACUUAGUCGCCAACUGUAACGGUGACUCUAUCGCCACAUCAUAAACCUUCGACGACAAAAUAUUCGUUAAAUACUCCAUCGCAUUUACUACGUCGCCGUUUCCUUCAUCCAUUGAACGUUCCGGUACCGCGCCUAAGUAACCUGACGGAUACCGCAGGGAAUUAGCAGACACCUUCUUCGGCGGCGCAGAAGGAACCACAGCAGAAGUUGACGACGACGAAACGAAGCGUUAUCGAGAGAAGUAACGGUCGGAGAAGAGAUAUCAGCCAUCGGUUUCGACACAGCGGCUCUGAUCCACGGGCGGAUACAUUUCUUUGUAAUGUGGCGCGCAGUAAAUGAUGUAGUUGGGACCCUCUCUUUGUGGCGGAGUAGCGGCGGAUGAGGUGGCGUGAGGCGAAGAGCCUCCAUUGGUUUUAAAUUUUUGAAAAUUUAAAGAAAAAAAAUAGAAAAACCAAAGAGAAAACGUGGUGGUGAAAAGAAAAUACGCUUUCUAACUCUAAGACGUCGGGCGGCUUUUGGAGGGGACCUUAUAGUUUAUAAAGACAAAGGAGGGAGGGUAAAUGGUUUUUCAUUUGGCGCAAUUUUUGGAGUGAACAAAUGGAGGCUAUGAAAGAUUGACACCUGGUGAAAAUGACGUAAGCAUGUCACUGUACCUGACGGGUUUCGUGCACUGCGGGUGACGGAUGGUAAGUGUUCUAUUUUAAAAUGCACAAGGAAGGAGUGUGCUCCGUUGACUCGAAACUCAACACCGUGAGACAACAGACCAGACACGCUGUGUGGAAAGAAAGAUGGAGCGAGUUUCAUUCAAUUUCAAGUAAGUUUUCGGUUGGAAUUUCCUUUUUAUUUUUUAUUUUAAGAGAAGAAAAUUCACACCCUUCCAAUAGGUAUUGUUGAGUCUCAAAUGUGAAAUUUUCAUAUUUGUUAGGAUGCAUUUCAAUGUAAAAAAGAAAAAAGAAAAAAAAGCUAACAAAUAUAUUUUUAAUUUCAUGAUAUAAAAAAUGAAACUCUUUAUCUGUAAUUAUAUAAUCAUAAUUUAAAUUUAUUUAAAAUUUAUUGCUUAUAAAUAUAGCAGUGAGGAUUUUACGUAAUAUUUUAUGAUUAAUUAAUUUUAUGACAUUAAUUUCGUAUAAUAUUCUAAAAAAAGAAAAAAACAUUGUUUCAAGGUGACAAUCAAUGUCAUGAAAUACAAUGUUAAAGAUGAAUUUUUGUUAUUUGUCUUGGGUUAUUUAUGUUGGCUUAUUAGAAUUAUUGAUUGUUAUGUCAUGCGAAAAUGACUACAAAGUUAGGCCAAAUUAACAAAGAUUAUCGUCAAAGCUUAAUUAUAUAAAAUUAAGGCCAAACAAAGAUUAGCUCAAUCUAUGCCUAAGAUUAAAAAUCUUUCAUCAGUGGCUGAGAAAAUAUGAAACAUUACUCGAACACUACUAAAUCAUCAUCUUAAUCAAGAGAGGACAUUCUAAAAUCUUUACUAUAAAAUUAGGCCAACGAGUAUUGUCAAAUCUUAAUUAUAUAAAAUUAAGACCAAACAAAGAUUAGCUCAAUCUAUGCCUAAACUUAAAAAUCUAUAAAAUUUCAUUAGUGGCUAAGAAAUUACGAACGUUCCUCGAACACUAAUAAAUCGUCAUCUUAAUUUGAAAAAUGACAUACUAAAAUCUUUACUACAAAGUUAGGCCAAAUUAAGAAAGAUUAUCGUCAAAGCUUAAUUAUAUAAAAUUAAGGCUAAACAAUGAUUAGCUCAAUCCCUACCUAAGCCUAAAAUAUCUAGAAAUUUUCUUUAGUGGCUAAAACUUUAUAAAUGUUACUCGAAUACUACUAAAUCAUCGUCCUAAGCUAAAAAGGGACACUCUAAAAUUCUUAAAUUUAGGUGAAUUUCGUUUAAUGUUUUGUUAAUUUAUUACUUUUUUAUAAUACAAUAAUACUUAUAUCAUAUCCGUUGAAUAAUGCUCAUUAAAUUGUAUAAUUUGUAUUCCUAUAACUAAUGUUGUAAAAAAGUAAACAUUGUUUGUCAUUAAUUAAUACUAAUUAUGCUGUGGACUAAUGCUUGACUUCAUCUCCUUAGAUACGGUGUUGUGAAUUUAAGUCAUUUUAAAUUAGGGAAUGGUCACGUGGGUUUAAGUCAUUUUAAAUUAGGGAAAUAAAAGGAAGGUGGAUAAGUACGUGCAUGUGAGUUAAAGUCAUCAGUUUUGUACAAAAAAUAUUGUAAAAAUUCUUACUUGACACAAAAGAGGUGGCCAUAUGCUAAAAAAGUAAUUAAGGAUAUAAAUAGGAGUAUAAUCGAUUAAAUUGGAAUUGAUAUAGUAUUAAAUUUAAGUUUAAAUUUGACUUUAAAUUUGAGAUUUAAAAUUCGGUUCAAAUUUAAUUAAAUUUUAUUUUUUUAAUUAAAGUUCAAUUCGAAAUAAAAAUUAAGUCAUUCCAGCUCGCUUGAUUAACAUGUAAAAAUAAAUUUUAUUUUUAUAUUUGAUAAAAGUUCGAUUAUUUAUGUUCAAACUAAAACUCGAAUUCGAGAUAUUUUAUUAAUUAAAAUAAUUAUAAUAUAUUAUAAUAUAAAAACUCAAUUAAACUUUUAAGUAAUUCGAAUCGAAUAUAAAAAUGUUUGAAUUCGAUUUAAUCGAUAAAUUAAAUUAUUCGAAUUUAAGUUUGAUUCAAUAAUAAUCGAAUUAAAUUUAAAUUUUAUUUUAAUUGAAUCUAAGUAACUUACAAGUACUAAUAUAUUAUUUAUACUCUUAAAUAUAAAUACAGGUCUUAUUAAAAAGUUUUAAGUUAGAAAAUUGACGGUGGAUUCUCCUAGUCAUAACCAAAAUAAUGAUGUUUCAUGUUGGAAUUUGAAAUUCCCUUUUCAUAUAUACAUCAUUUAAUAAAUGCUUUGGCCACUUACUCAUAUGCUUUUUCCUAUCUAAAUAAAAAUAAUAUUUUAUUAAAAUUUAAAAUUACAUUAUUAUAUAAAAAGUUAUCUCCUUUGCAGAUAAUAAAGUUUUUAAAUUCUAAAAAUAUGAAGAUCACACACACAUAUAUAUAUAUAUAUUAAAAAUAUAUAUAUGAUAAUUUUUAAUCUUAUUUAUAAAAUAAAAAAAUUAUACUGUUAGCGUACUCUUAUUUUAUUAUUGAGUACAUAUAUAACAAAUUAAUCAACCAUACACCAAAAGUUGGUAGACCUAAUUAUCAACCAACGAAUGUUUUCACAUAAUUACAUAAUUAAAGUUUCAGUAUAACCCUUAGCUUUUUUUUUUUAAUUUUCUAGGAUAAUAUUUUUAUAGCACCUGGCAGAAUAUAAUGUCAUUGUCUUUGAAUAAUUUUUAAAAAUAAAAAAUUGAAUGAACCCAAUACCUAAAUAUAUAACUAUAUGUGUACGUAUCGGACUGACAAUCAUGUGUAAAAUAAAUAAAUAAAUAAAUAAAAUAAAUAGAAGACGAGAUUCAAUUAAAGAGGACAAGAAAACCUAAAUAAAAGAAAGACUGGAUUGAUGCUGCCUUUCUUUCAACCCAACAUCUUGAUGUGGAAAAAAAUUUUAAAAAGUAAAAAAAUGUUAAAAACUUGGUUGUUACAUAAAUUUUUCAUAUAUAUAUUUUUGUGUUUCACAUGCUAUUUAAAAAUUAUUUAUUUUUUAAAAAAAUCAGUCCAAAGAAAAUUAGUUCAUCUCACUGGAGUUUGGACUUUUGGGGUCUCAAAAAGAGUUGUUGGCGUUAGAUAGUUUUGUUCAUUUAUUUAAUGUGCCAAGACUCUUGAUUAAAACAAAAAAAUAAAUAAUUUAUUGUCUAAUUCUAUUGAAAUGUUUUAUUAUAAAAAUUUAAAUGAAAGCAAGUUAUUUCAUUUCAAAUCAAAGCAUAUUAUAAAUUUUAAAGAAAAUUUACAUUAAUUUUAUUAAUCAUUCAUAAAAAAUCGUUUGCAAUAAAAAGUUAAAAAUCAAAUAUAAAUCUUAUGAACAAAACAUUCCGUUUUUAUCUAUUUAACCAACAUCCUUUAAACUAAUUUUAUUAAAUUGUUAUUAAAGAUUUUAUAUACGCUGCAUGCAUUAGGUAUAGGAAAAGGACCAGUAGAACAUUUAUAAAAAAGAAACUUGUUAAAGAUGCUUUUUUUUUUGUACAAAUUAUAUACUAGAUUAAAUUGUUUUUAGAGAAGUUAUUAAUUAUAUUAACAGUUGAAAUUUUUAAGUUUAUAAGUGAAUUUAAGAUAAUGAUAUAUAUUUUUUAAUGUAUAUUUAAAACAUUAAAAAAUUUUAAUUAAAAAAAAUAUGUAUUAUUAUUUUAAUUUCAUUUAUAAAAUUAAAAAAUUUUAUGUUAAUAUAUCAAAUAAAUAUAUCAAAUAAAUGGUUAGAGGGUUGUGAGAAUGUAAUUUUUUAUGAAUAUUUUAGAUUCAGUAUAAAUAAAUUUUAAGAUAAAUGAAUAACUUGGAUAAAUUAAUAAAAUUAAUUUAUAUAAAAUCUUGGGGUUGAAAUUUUGGUAUGGUGAUAAAUAAUGGGAAAAAAAAAAGAAAAAAAGAAACAAAUUUAGUUUCUUUUUUUUUUAAAUAAAAACUCGUUUAAGGAAAUGAUAAGUAUAAAAAAAUAAAUAAAUAAUGGGAUAAAAGGUUCCAGAUGGUCCAUUGGACCCUUAAAGCUCCAGCCCUAAGCUGGUGUGUUAUUUAGUUUCUUUUUUUUUUUUUAAUAAAAACUCGUUUAAGGGAAUGAUAAGUAUAAAAAAAUAAAUAAAUAAUGGGAUAAAAGGUUCCAGAUGAUCCAUUGGACCCUUAAAGCUCCAGCCCUUAGCUGGUGUGUUAGUGUGGUCCACAGACCCAAACACAACACAACUGAUGUUACCCAAACAUUAGUAAUGGUGAGAUUGGUCAAAAAACGUGGCCUAAAAUCACCGUACCGGGUCCAAUCAAAACCAAAUGAGGCCUAAAUGUUCUAGCUAUAUUUGAUAACUGCUUGUCUUUUGGGUUUUAAGGAAAAGAUUUUUGACCAAUGUGUUUAAAUAUAAUUUUACUUUAAUAAAAUCUUGUAUAUGAUUUUUUAAAUUCAAAAUUAAUUUGACAUGACUAAAAUUAUUAUUAUAUUAAUAAAUAAUAUAUUUAUUUAAUUUUAUUUAAAAAAUUAAAAUAUUAAUAUUAAAAGUUUUUUAAUAUUUUUAUAAUUCUAUUCAAAUAAGAUUUUGAACAUGAUAGCUUAAGUUUGAGUUUGAUUUGAUUCAACUUGAAAUAUCAUUAUAUUAAUAAAAAUAUUUUAUUUAAGUUUAAUUAAAAAGUUAAUAUAUUAACAUUAAAAGUCUUUUGAUAUUUUGAUUUUAAAUAUUUUUUGUAUAUUAUUAAAUAUAAAUAUUUUUAAUAUUUCAAUAAUAAACAAUAUUCUAUUAUUAUAUUAAUAAUAAACAAUAACAUAUUUAACAAUAUUUUUAUUAUUCUAAUAAUUAAUAUUAAAUAAUAUAAUAAUAUUAUUUUAGUAAUAUGAAUAUUUUUAGUAAUUUCUUAAUUUUUUAGUUUAAAAUAUAUUAUUUAUAUUUUAUUUAUUAAGGUAUUUUAUUACUAUUUUAACAAUAAAUAUAAAAAAGAAUUGUUUUUGUUAAGAUUUAAUAAUAAAUACUUUUAAAAUAAAAAAUAAAUAUUUUAAUACUAUAAAUAUUUUGAUAUUUUAAAAAUAAAUAUUACUAUUUUAAUAUUAUAAUAAUUAUAAAAAUAAUAUUUUAAGAAUAGUAAUAUUAUUUUAAAUAUUUUAAUUUGUUAAUAUAAAGAAUAAUAAAUAGUUUUGUUUUAUGUGUUUUUUAUAUUAGUAUAAUAUUUUAAUUUUAAAUAUUAAUAAAAUAUAAUUAUUUUUAAUAUUAAUAAUUUUAAUAGUAAAUAAUUUCAAAAUACUUUAAUAAUAAAUAAUUCUAAUAUUUAUGUCAAUAUUAUUAUUUUUUAAAUAAAAUUUUAAAAAAAUCAGAUAACAAAAAAUAUUUUCAUUGACUCAUGACUCAUCCAAAUAAUAGAUAAUAUCACUUUUUCCAAAAAUAUAAACAUUUUCUAUAAAAUAUUUUUUGAAAGUUAAUUUCCGUAAAACAAGCGAACCUUUUUGUUUAUUUUGGCAAUAAAAAAUAAAACAAACAAAAAGAAUGAAUAUACAAAACUAAAAACAAAAUAAUAAAAGUAAAAGCGUUUAUUAAAUGAGCUUAAAUGUUGAUAAACUUGUUUUUUAUCACCUAGUUUGUACCAUUUAUGAGUAGUCCAUUAACUAGGUUUGACAAUUUGUAUUCUUAUAUUGUGUUUAUGUCAUAUUGAGAAGUGUAAUUAUACGAAUUAUUGAAAUACAAAUAUAGCAUGAAUUAUAAAAUAUAUUUAAAUUUUGAAUACAACACGUUUAUUAUAUGUAUUACAUGCGAUACGAUAUAAUUAACAUAUAUAUAAUUAAUUUAUUUACACAUGAUAUGAACAAAUAUGAAUAAUACGGAUAUACACGAAUAGAUACGACUAAUAUAUAUAUAUAUACGAAUAAACACGACUAAUAUUAAUAUAUAUAAAAAUAUGACUAAAAUAAUAAAUAAUUAUAAAUUAUCAAUCAAUUACAACUUAAUAAAUUUGAUAUACGACUUGCAUAUUAAAAAUAAUAAAAAAAUUAAAUACCCAUUUAAUAUGUACUUAAUAUAUAUAUUUAAAUUUUAAUAUAUAUUACAUAACUAUAAUAAUUUUUAGUAUUAAAUUCAAAAUGAUAAAUUAUUGAAGAUUAAAAAAUAAAAUAAUGAUGUAUAAGACUAGUAUUAAUAUUUAUAUUUUAUUUAUAUUAUUAAUAUAAAAAUAAUUUUAUAAUAAUUAUUAAAUGAGUAUCAUAAUUCAAUGUUUAAAAUAAUCUUUAUAUGCUAUUGAAAAACUAAUUAAGUAUCGUAAUUAAAAAAUUAAAAAUUAAAAUAACUUUUAUAUGUUUAUAUUAAAUUAAAGUACAUAUAAAAAUAUUUUAAAUGCAGACUCAUAGGACAAAAAUAAAUUAAAUAUAUUUUUUGUGUCAGAAUACAUGUUAACAUGUAUCCGUAUGAUACAUUUUAUCUAAACGUGUCUUACAUAUAUUUAGAUUUAUUAAUAAAUAUUUAAACGUACCAAUACAUAUACUGUAUAAAUUAUAUCAUAUGAAAAUUUAUAUCAAUACAAAUAAAUAUAAAACAUAUUUUUUUAAAAUAUGUAUAUAUUAUUUUUUAUAUUAAUUUUAUAUCAUAUCAUCAUAUUAUAUAUGAAAUUAUCAGAUCUAUCAAUAUCCGAAAUGUCUUGCAAAAUUUAUGAUUUCAUAUUUUUGGAACAGUAUACAGCAAGCAUAGUAUCAGAGUAACCUCCAUAUGUAGUAGUUCCAACAAAAGUGCUUUGCCACUAAUUUUCAAGAUUCUUAGUGCAGUCACCGCAGGAGUGACAUGACUCAACCAUGCAACUUUAUCUUCAAUUUUGAUUUUUUUAACUUAUAGAAUAAAACCAGCAAAAUUAUAAUAUUCAAAAUUUAAAUUUAUUAAAUAUUAUUUUCUUAUAAAUAAUUAUAUAACUAAAAUUAAAUAUCACCUCUGUCACUGAACCAACAAUCUCAUGAGAUUGUUGAGAGUUGUUUAUAAUCUAUUAACCUACGCUUAAUUUAAUAAAUAGUGCGUGGACACUUGGACAAGCAACGUUGAUUUUAUACUGCAGGCUCCCAGGCUCCUCUGGCAAAACAGUUGCAAGCACUGCCUCCUGUUGUCUACCCACAUUAGCCAGUUCGGUAACCACUCUAAGCUUAUCAAAAUUCAUGUUUGCACCGCUAGUUAUUGCUACAACAUUCUUUCCCUUAAGGCUGUAAUAUUUGCAAUAUGCUUCAGCUCCCGCAAGGGCUAGGGCACCUGCUGGUUCCAGAAUGCUCCUCUUCUCUUCAAACAUGUCCUGCAACACAAGCAGUACAGCUGUAAAUCCUAAGCAUUCAAACAACCAUGUGUUAAUUAGAUGAAGGCCAUCAGUUAUCCAACAAAAACCAAUAGCACUAGUCAUACUGGAGAGACAACAUUAGACACGAGGAGAGAGAAAAAAUCAUAAGAAGGGCUUCUAACAUCCAUAAGGUUAAGAAUAAAUAAUUAGAGAACAAAUGGUGAUGGGGACAGGCCACACUCUUUCCCGAAAUGGGAAAUAGAACACCAUAAAACUGCAUAAAAAUUCAAGUUAAACACCCAAUUUGUGAGCAAAACUAACCAGAAGUGAACUACCUUCAUAUGAAGAACCAAAGGCACAUUCCAAUUCCUAAAAUACUACAUCUAGAAUCCAAGUUAAAUCAAAGGUACAAUAUAUUUGAACUAGAAAUUUGACACUUUGUUUCAAAUUACAAUUUUAGGUAUUUCAAGCCAGCAUUUCAGUUGUUUGCUCAAUUCACAACUGUAUCAUACAAGGACAGAAACGAAUAACUAAAAUAAAGAUUGACAACCUUAAGCUGUAUGUUAAGAGGCACAAAUGGCUCAAUGCAAAGAAGCCAUACCUUUAUAGAGGCACAAAUAGCAUCAUGGUUUACAAGAACGACACCAUCCACCAAUUUCCUACAUAAGCGAAAGGUUUCUUCACCGACUUCCUUAACAGCUACUCCAUCUGCAAAGCCCCCAACCUGGUCCAACAUCACUCUUUCGCCAUGAUGAAGCGACAAUGCCAUUGCAU